RNAcentral lists this long non-coding RNA (1916 nucleotides) under Elaeis guineensis (African oil palm). Its description in RNAcentral is "long non-coding RNA (EGUI_LNC069262)". Lineage: Eukaryota; Viridiplantae; Streptophyta; Magnoliopsida; Arecales; Arecaceae. The record is from RNAcentral.
UAAGCUUUCUUCGCUUUCAGUUCCGCACCAAAUCAUAGCAAAGCACAGAUGCGGUAGCCAUUUUUGAAAGCUGCCCGUUAGCUUAGUAGCUGCGAGACCUGUCAAGUUCCGCUCUUCCCACUUGAUCCUGCAAGCCUAUACUUCUUGCUUUGAUGGCUGUCACUGCAAUCGUUGGAAUUGGUUGGUCGCUUGCUUGAUUGGAAGGACUGUCGCUUUUCUCUCUUAGCUUAGCUUGACUGAUCGUGUAGCAACGAGCUGCUUGAAUCUGAUUCCCCCCCCGCCUACCUUCCCUGAACGAGCUCUUUCUUUCCGUUCCUUUCCCGACGCUACGCGCCUUCACUUACUGAACUGUCCUUAUGUGACUUAACUUUCACUUUCUCUCUGCGAUACCCAAGUGCCUUUACUUGAACUGGAAGGUUGGAUAUUCUCUUCGGCGACCAAGAACAGAACCUAAAGCCCGAAGCAAAGGAAAGAUUAUCUGCGAAACUAGCCCUUAAGCCUAAAUCGCCCAAGAACAGAAAGAAAAACUAUCUGAUCCACGGAGUAACCGAUUGAACAAAAAACAAAGAUAGAAUGUCUGUAUCUCCAAAGCCGCUUGACUUGCUUAGUAAUGAAAGAGUGCGAGCUAAUAGAAUAGAAGGAUUUGACUCUUAUCAAAGCAACCUGCCCAAGAAGCAAGGGAAGAUUCUUUUAUCCACUAAACUAGCCUACCACGAGUCCAUGACCUGAACCGCCUACCCUAAACUCGCCUACCCUAAACUCGCCUACCCGUACCUGGCUACCUGACCAGAAGAAGAAAGAGUUUCUUUUGUUAGCUUUAGUUGAAAGAGGAACUUUCAAGACAUAGACAUUGAAACAACUAAUCACCGCUUGCCUAUGAGAAGAUUGAUUUAUCCCCUUGACUUGAAAGUAGUCGUGAGUCGAGAUGGAAAGUUCAAUCGCAAAGACGGUCAGGACUGGAACUGGAACGGAAAAGAGACUCUAUCACGAGCCUCUAGUCGUAAAAGGAAUAAUUUUUUAUAUGAUAUCCCUCGCCUGUAAUUGCUGCCUUCACUUGCUGCCGUAAUUUGCUGCUUGAAAGCCUGAGUUUUCUGGUUGGAUACAUAGUUCGAGUCGCCGUUGUGAACUACCAGGGAAACCCUUUUUAACCGCUCCCUGUCCCCUAUGUUAAGAGGUAGAGAAGAUCAGGUAAAUCAAAUCCAUUGCUUGCCAUUAAUGAUUCCUAAACACGUUCAUUUGUUGUAUGAUCAAUAGGGAAGGGGGAGUCAAUUUGAGAGCAAGCCUCCCCUCUCUCAAUCUCAAAAAGAAAAAAGGGCAACGCACGGUGGAGACCCCUUUCGUGAUCGACCAACCAUGGACGGAAAGCAGAGGUCUCAAAAGGGUUUUCUUCGAACAAAUGUCAGUUCCCAUAGAAUAGGAAGAAAGGGGCUGACUGAAGCUUUCAGGGAAGACUUUGCUCUUUCAGUUGCGAGUGGGUGCUAUCUUCAUAUGGUAACUCUCCUCUCGUUAACUCCACCCCUUCGAUAAAGGAUCUUGACCUUCUAAAACAUACCUUUCCUUGGAAUAAGACUUUAUCUAAAAAUGCUAUCUCCUCUCCCAAUGCUGACCUCCUUGUUUCAAAUCUUUCUCCUAAGCAAACGAGAUCUUAUUAUCUAAGGGAAGAGGUCAUAAGAUAAAAAUAAAUGAAAUUCUUAUAAAUAAUAAGGUUUUAGAGCCUCACGUCUUUCUUGACCUUCAGGAUGUAGACUUAAGCCGCCUAUCCUCUUUGGUUUUCCUCUCCUUUGAGCCUUCAAUCCCAGGCAUCCACUAAAAAAGGACCUUUCAAGGUCAGUAUCCGUCCAUUUUUUUACUUAACCAGAAAGGCGCGAAAAAGAUGGUUUUCAUUGACCAGAGUAAGAAAAGAGGGUCGGUUGAGC